CAAGCAUACAGGAAGUGAUACCUGUACACAGAAAGUGGCACAUGUACAUAGGAAGUGGUGGAUCACGAUCCUGCCGUGUGUCCCAGACCCUUCUCAGAUGAACAAGAAAGGAGAGAGACAUCACCAAGAAGAACAGGAUACAUGGAAAAGCAUAAUAAAAUUAUGAAUUAUGCUUUUACAUAAUAGCAGGAGACGGGAAGAAAGAUUUGCUAAUCAUUCUGGGGAAAGAGAAUUGGAACUACUUGGUUCAAAGUGAGCUCCCUGCAGGAAAAGUUUACCAACCAAUGGAACAGACACAAGGACUGUGGAAUACAGAUUCUGAACAUCCAAGCUGUACAAGGUCUGUAAUCAAUAAACUGUUCUCAGCUGUUGAUCUUCCCUCCAAAAUUAAGGAACAUAAGUGAAUGGCAAAGUAUAAAUAAAAAUUAAAGAGGGAGAAAUAAUAAAUUAAGAGAUGUGGAAUAAAAUUAAAA
This is a long non-coding RNA of Rattus norvegicus (Norway rat), 473 nucleotides long. RefSeq lists it as uncharacterized. The record is from RefSeq and is a predicted model, not a curated record. NCBI's taxonomy places the organism in Eukaryota, Metazoa, Chordata, Mammalia, Rodentia, Muridae.